Molecule: long non-coding RNA, 2016 nt
Organism: Cebus imitator (Panamanian white-faced capuchin)
Lineage: Eukaryota; Metazoa; Chordata; Mammalia; Primates; Cebidae
Exons: 2
Source: RefSeq, a predicted model, not a curated record
GGAGGAGGAGGAGGAGGAAGUGGCUGCGGAGCGCUCGGCCAAUGAGUGUCUGGAGCUGUGAUUAACCAGGCAGCAACACAUCAUUUCCUCCCGGCGCGGAUCCAGGGAGCCGGGAGGGAGAGAGGAGGCGGCGGGGCGGGGCCGUCCCCGCGCCCCCUGCAGGCGCCCGGCCGAGGGCGAGCCCGCCGAGCCCCGCCGAGCCUGACCGCGCCGCCCCCGGCGCGCCUGGCGCUGUCUGGCCCGUCGCUCUGCCCGCCGGGUGGAAGCUGCGAGCGCGCCGCCCGCGGGGCUACUCGCAGGCAACGAGGCAGGCCGGAGCCGGGCUCCUGUGGCCGGGGUGGGAGGAGAAGAGGCGGCGCGGCGGCAAGAGUGAGUGCCCAGGUCUAGGGUUAUGCAAGAGCUUGCCAUGUUCGCAGUUGGCUUCCUUAGUGCUAGAAAUAAGCAAGGAGGAGCUUCUGCAGUGAUCUAGCCCUGUCCUAGGCGCCAUGGGAGCUUGCAAUAGAAAGGCAGCAACAUUCUCCGCCGCAGAGAGGCUGACAACCUCGGUCCGUAAAUACACAAAAACACCCCAGCGUGCUAAUAUUACCCAGAGCAUCAAAAAGGCAUGCAAGGAUCAAAUUUUGCCUGGUUCCUGCUGAGUGUAAAGGAAAGCACCAAGCCAUUUUCUCUGCCCUCUAGAAGCGUAUAAUGUACAGCCCUAUCACAGAGCAAAAUAAAAACAUGAAACCUAUAAAUGGGAAUGCCAUAAAAUAUUUUUAUCUCUACAGGUUCAUUCAUGCAGAGGGCAUUUAUUGGGUGACUGCAGUACUGCAAAAGGUUGCAAAGGAAAUGGAAGAUCUGGUCCCUGCAGGUUGAGAGUUUACAAUCUAAUUAGAAACACAAGGCGAAUGUACGUGAAACAACUAGAAUCCCCAGCUGUAAGGAAAAGAUGAAGUAGGUGGGGGCAUUUUUUUCAUAAAGAGAAGAGCUAUGUACCUAUAUGAUCGGUGAGAAUUAGGAGAGGCAAGUUCAGUAAAAAUCAAGGCAAGAGCACCUAUAUGUAUCCCUGCUCUAUAGAAUUCUAUAAGAGGGCCUUCAUUGUCACUUGGUCAGCUCUGCCACUUACAAACUGUUUUGACCUUGGGCACAUUUUUAACCUAAAAAGGGAAUAAAGGUUGUCUCCUGAGGUGGUUGUGCAGUUCAAAUGAGAUUACAAACGUGGAAGCUUGUCAAGCUCAAUCAUGUACAUUAAUGGAGUCCUCAUUGUACAAACUGGCCCCUUCUUUGUAACCUUUAGAGUUCCCUCCUAGGCUGUAAGCUCCAAGAGGGCAGGGACCACGUCUGGUUGUAUUCACCAUGUAUCACUAUGCCUAGCAGAAGGGUUCAUGGGAGCGUUCAAUAAAGUUUUGCUGAAUAGGUAAAUAAAUGAAUUAAUGAAUCCUGUUAUGCUUUGAACAGUUCCUAUUACCUGUUCCUUAAGCAGUUCCUUCAAUAGUGGUCUUAUUGUAUGGCUGGCUUAGUGAAAACCCUGUAACUCAAUCCUCCUGUGACUAACUUGUGUGCCAGGAGACUGGGAGAAUUCUGGGUGGUACUGUCAGAGGCAUUCAAACCAGAGCGACUCCAUUUUGAAUGAGGGCUAGGAAAAUGAGGCUGAGACUUGCUGGGCUGUGUUCUCAGAACAUUGGGCAUUCCUAGCCUCUGGAUGUUUACAGUAUGGGAACAAAUUAAUCCUGUUUACUCAACAAACCCAGACAUGGACGUGUCCAUAUAUCCCCAUAACUGGAAACCGAAGGUGUUCAUAAUUUUGCUUUAAAGAUAAUAAUAUGGAUUCUUGCAAAAUAUUUAAAUUAAUUAAGAAAAUUAAUUCUUUAUCACAGACUCUGGUAGCAGAGCACAACUCCCCAUAUAAGCAAGUGUUGUACCUAGGGUGGAUUUGUUCUUGUCUUACUUUUGGGAAUGUCCUACUCUGUCGAUGGAGUAGCUGUCCUUUGUCCUUUCAUCACUUUACUUUCUUAAUAAACUUGCUUUUACUUGGCA